RNAcentral lists this transfer RNA (68 nucleotides) under Zapornia fusca. RNAcentral describes it as "tRNA-Phe". It matches the Rfam family "tRNA". From Rfam's summary of the family: Transfer RNA (tRNA) molecules are approximately 80 nucleotides in length. The record is from RNAcentral. Lineage: Eukaryota; Metazoa; Chordata; Aves; Gruiformes; Rallidae. RNAcentral also lists the same sequence under 1 other name.
GUCCCUGUAGCUUAACCAUAAAAGCAUAACACUGAAGAUGUUAAGAUGGUUUCCUAAACCCAUGGACA